GACGAACGCUGGCGGCGUGCCUAAUACAUGCGAGUCGAACGCAUUUUCUUUCACCGUAGCUUGCUACACCGAAAGAAAAUGAGUGGCGAACGGGUGAGUAACACGUGGGUAACCUGCCCAUCAGCGGGGGAUAACACUUGGAAACAGGUGCUAAUACCGCAUAAUUCCAUUUACUGCAUGGUAGAUGGAUGAAAGGCGCUUUUGCGUCACUGAUGGAUGGACCCGCGGUGCAUUAGCUAGUUGGUGGGGUAACGGCCUACCAAGGCUGCGAUGCAUAGCCGACCUGAGAGGGUGAUCGGCCACACUGGGACUGAGACACGGCCCAGACUCCUACGGGAGGCAGCAGUAGGGAAUCUUCGGCAAUGGACGCAAGUCUGACCGAGCAACGCCGCGUGAGUGAAGAAGGUUUUCGGAUCGUAAAACUCUGUUGUUAGAAAAGAACAAGGAUGAGAGUGGAAAGUUCAUCCCUUGACGGUAUCUAACCAGAAAGCCACGGCUAACUACGUG
Molecule: ribosomal RNA, 507 nt
Filed under: uncultured bacterium
Lineage: Bacteria
Description: partial 16S ribosomal RNA
Rfam family: Bacterial small subunit ribosomal RNA
Source: RNAcentral